Long non-coding RNA from Drosophila yakuba, 2335 nucleotides. RefSeq lists it as uncharacterized. The record is from RefSeq and is a predicted model, not a curated record. The transcript is spliced from 2 exons. Lineage: Eukaryota; Metazoa; Arthropoda; Insecta; Diptera; Drosophilidae.
UACUAUUAACUGUUUAUUAAUUGUACCAUUCAGCGGUUUUUCCAUUAGCAAAAAGCAUAGGCGGCACUACAUUUAUUGCAACUUUAACACGGCCAAUUCGAUUUUCCACCAUCAAUUUUAUGCCAAUUUGGCGCAUAAAAAAGUAGCUUCAAACCUUAAUGAAAAACGAUAUAGGGUCAUUAACAUCCGACUCUUCCCAUUCGACCGUUCUGGCUGCCAUUUCGCAUAAAUGUGCAUAAAGUUAAAUAUGCAGCUGGGCGCACCCGCAAGUCAGGCUCCGAAGGCUACAACGAGUUUAAUUUCAUUUAAAUCUCGGCCCAUAAAAAAUACAUUCGCAUAACCGAUUGGUAUAAUUCAUUCGAACGCUCCGUCACAGCGGUUCAAACUAGGUUAAUGACAAGCUUAACGUUCACAGGUGGAAAAUUAAAAAAAAAUGCAAAAAAGGGAGUUCCGGGAGGAGCUGGUAAAAAUUCCAGCAAUAGUGUGAAAAUUUCAGGCCAGCACCAGCUGAAGGAGUAUAAAAAAUAUUGAACGCAAGGCACGUGGAUCGUUGUUGGGGAUCCGUAUCCGGAUUCCCUUUGCCAUUUUCAUGGGGGGUCGGAUUCCGGUGGGGAUUUUAUGUGCCCAAAAAUGUAAUUUAACUAGUGUUUUUCGUGGAAGCCCUUCGCAAAAAAAAAAAAAAAAAGAGCGGAAGCCAGAGCCAAAGGGACAUUUUUAAUCAAAAUUCACGCCACUCUGAUGUGGGUGAGCUUUUGUCCUGGCGAAAGUUAGAAAAUGAUGCCGUGGAUUUCCAACAUUAAAACAGCACGGCAUUGUUGUUGACAAAAUAUAUGAUUUUCAAUUUCAUUUGAGUGCGCCUCUCACUGGCGAGUAUUUUCAUGUCACGUGAUUCUGAAAUUUAAAAAUAUUAAAUGCUAGAAAAAAAUAAAUGUUUGGAUCAAGUUUUCAAACUAUGUUUAAAACAAAUCUGAAUUUGACUUUAAAAAUCUUACUUCUUACAGAGAUGUGCGGCCUUGAAUGACUCAGUCUUAGAACAGGAAUAUCCACUGUAUACUAACUCAGAACAAUGAGAACAUAAAAUUUCACAAAAAUAUUCUUGACUCGACGACAGACUUUGUGUGCGAUAUUUUUUAAUUUUUUGUCUUCUUCAUAACUUGGCCCAAAAUGCCACACAGGGAGUGCGGAUACAAAGGUCUGUUUGGAUCGUAAAAGCUACAAAAGCCAACCAGCCAAAUGCCAAUAAAUGGAACAACAAAAACCAAACCAGCACCAAGGAAUACCGAAAUGGAGCGGCAUAUUUUGUUUUUAUAUAGCAUUUUUAGUUACCACGGAUCUACCGCCAUAAAGCGUAGAAAUAAAAGCACUUAAAGUUUGUCAUCAGCUCGAUACAUAUAGCAAGUUAAAAUCGAACUCAAAUUGCGGCACUUAAGCCGGUCUAGAAGUUGGCUUUCAGUCCCACGGAAAUUUAUGACCUGGGUGAUAAUGCGAGGCGCCGCAAGGUGCAAGCCAUAACUGGAUUUCAAAUCACAGAGCCGGCCCUCAUAUGCAUUAUAAUGCUGAUAAGAUGACGAGCUGCAUCGCGAUGUGGCAUGCUGGCCAACUUCCGAUUUAUCUCAAUUGCUGGAAAUUGAAACGCCAGCGCAUUUAGCACCAAUUUAGAACACGAAAAGCUGAAAACUGAUACAUUCCAAAAGGGUUAACCGUACCGAACGAAUUCAUUCCAUUCGAAUCGAAUGUCUUCAUUUCACGACAGCCAACAGCGAAUGGCUUUGGCAUAUAAUCCAGUCUGCCUUUUUUUUUUUAGUCCCAUUAUGAUUAUUAUAAUAUAUUUCGUGAGCGGAGCUGUUAACUCUUUGAAAUUGGAGUAGGCCGAGUGAGUCGUUGGGCAGCGACGGCGGAAUGUGUAAUCAGAGAAGCGGGAAAGUCAUUGUAAUCUUGGGUGUUUAGUGGAUACAAAAAGAUGUGAAUAUAUAUUCGAGAAACAAAUAAAGAAAAAUCACAUUUACCUCAAUCGCAAACAGCUGUUGCCGCGGAAGUUAACGCCCUGCAAUAAAAAUCAUGGCCACAUAUCAAAUUAUUCGCAAAAAAAAAUACAAAAAUAAACGGGGGAAAAUAAUCUGUCCAAACACUUCAAAAUAAUUUGACAUCAACUCGCUUGAUUCCCACACGAAUAUCCAAGCACCAGCAAAAGAUUUCACAGAUAUCCUGAAAGAUUGUCAAACUAAUUUGGCGCAGGUAGUUUCCCAGUUUUGUGUGCGAGAUGCCUGCCUGGCUGCCUGCCCCCGAUCAUUAUGAAGAUGUUGAAUAAAAGUAUCGCAUGACAUGGUUCUAAAAA